This 799-nucleotide ribosomal RNA is filed under the name uncultured Bacillota bacterium. RNAcentral's name for it is "bacterial SSU rRNA". It matches the Rfam family "Bacterial small subunit ribosomal RNA", at positions 71 to 902 of the family's 1533-position model. The record is from RNAcentral. Lineage: Bacteria; Bacillati; Bacillota.
AAAGUGGAGCAAUCCAUGAGUACAGUGGCGUAUGGGUGAGUAACACGUGGAUCAUCUACCUUUUAGUGGGGAAUAACCUUGGGAAACCGAGGAUAAUACCGCAUAAGCCCGAGAGGGGAAAGCAGCAAUGCGCUGAAAGAGGAGUCCGCGGCCGAUUAGCUAGUUGGCAGGGUAAAGGCCUACCAAGGCAUCGAUCGGUAGCCGGCCUGAGAGGGCACACGGCCACACUGGCACUGAAACACGGGCCAGACUCCUACGGGAGGCAGCAGUGGGGAGUCUUGCACAAUGGGGGAAACCCUGAUGCAGCGACGCCGCGUGAGCGAUGAAGCCCUUCGGGGUGUAAAGCUCUUUCGGCAGGGAAGAUUAUGACGGUACCUGCAGAAGCAGCUGCGGCUAACUACGUGCCAGCAGCCGCGGUAAUACGUAGGCAGCAAGCGUUGUUCGGAGUUACUGGGCGUAAAGGGUGUGUAGGCGGUUGUUUAAGUUUGGUGUGAAAUCUCCCGGCUCAACUGGGAGGGUGCGCCGAAUACUGAAUGACUUCGAGUGCGGGAGAGGAAAGUGGAAUUCCUGGUGUAGCGGUGAAAUGCGUAGAUAUCAGGAGGAACACCGGUGGUGUAGACGGCUUUCUGGACCGUAACUGACGCUGAGACACGAAAGCGUGGGUAGCAAACAGGAUUAGAUACCCUGGUAGUCCACGCCCUAAACGAUGCAUAUUUGGUGUGGGCAGUUCAUUCUGUCCGUGCCGGAGCUAACGCGUUAAAUAUGCCGCCUGGGGAGUACAGUCGCAAGGCUGAAACUC